This 253-nucleotide ribosomal RNA is filed under the name uncultured bacterium. RNAcentral's name for it is "partial 16S ribosomal RNA". It matches the Rfam family "Bacterial small subunit ribosomal RNA", at positions 524 to 776 of the family's 1533-position model. The record is from RNAcentral.
UACAGAGGUCUCAACCGUUGUUCGGAUUCAUUGGGUUUAAAGGGUGCGUAGGCGGGCAGGUAAGUCCGUGGUGAAAUCUCUGAGCUUAACUCAGAAACUGCCAUGGAUACUAUUUGUCUUGAAUAUUGUGGAGGUAAGCGGAAUAUGUCAUGUAGCGGUGAAAUGCUUAGAUAUGACAUAGAACACCAAUUGCGAAGGCAGCUUACUACACAGUUAUUGACGCUGAGGCACGAAAGCGUGGGGAUCAAACAGG